UACGAAGGGUGCAAGCGUUAAUCGGAAUUACUGGGCGUAAAGCGCACGUAGGCGGUUUUUUAAGUCAGAUGUGAAAGCCCCGGGCUCAACCUGGGAAUUGCAUUUGAAACUGGGGAACUAGAGUGUGUGAGAGGGGGGUAGAAUUCCAAGUGUAGCGGUGAAAUGCGUAGAGAUUUGGAGGAAUACCAGUGGCGAAGGCGGCCCCCUGGCACAACACUGACGCUCAGGUGCGAAAGCGUGGGGAGCAAACAGG
RNAcentral lists this ribosomal RNA (253 nucleotides) under uncultured bacterium. Its description in RNAcentral is "partial 16S ribosomal RNA". It matches the Rfam family "Bacterial small subunit ribosomal RNA", at positions 524 to 776 of the family's 1533-position model. The record is from RNAcentral.